GUGCUCAAUUUGGCAGCAUGUAUACUAAAAUUGGAAUAGUACAGAGAAGACUAGCAUAGCCCUGUGCAAGAAUGACUUACAAAUUUCUAAAGUAUUCUUUAUUAUU
Molecule: small nuclear RNA, 106 nt
Organism: Hippopotamus amphibius kiboko
Lineage: Eukaryota; Metazoa; Chordata; Mammalia; Artiodactyla; Hippopotamidae
Source: RefSeq, a predicted model, not a curated record